AGAUCAGCAAGGUCAGCGAAAUACCAACAUGCGGUUCUUCUCCGUAGCCUUCCUUCUUGGACUCCUGGUCGCUUUUCUGGCCUUCUGCUCCACAGCAGCGGAGGAAACACAGCUGCCGCAUCUCCGAGUUCGUCGAGGUGGCGGCUGCCCAAUUUCCAGCAGCUGCGUCAAGAUCUGCCAGGACAACGGCCGCAAAUCAGGGAUCUGCGCCGGACCGCGUCAUUUAUCCUGCGUAUGCAGUUAGAGAGCGCCAUUCGCCAAAAAACUCCA
Molecule: non-coding RNA, 270 nt
Organism: Dermacentor andersoni
Lineage: Eukaryota; Metazoa; Arthropoda; Arachnida; Ixodida; Ixodidae
Source: RefSeq, a predicted model, not a curated record